GUCCUCUAAAGCAACUUCCGUGGGUGCCAGGUUGUGGGCUGGGGGCGGUGCUGACCUUGAGAGAGCGGAGGAGGCGCAGGCGCAGCACAGGUACGUGGGCGGGCGGAUCGUGGUGGCUGCGCUUGCGAGGACCCUGAGGUAGAUUGGGUGGUUUCAACAGGAACGCAUCCACUGUCUGAGAGUUUAAACUUGAUUUUGUGAGGGGACGAACAGCGUGACAAUUAAAAGAAGAUCUGGGAAUCAAAAGCUUCCUGAGGCCUUCACCAGAAGCAGAUGCUGGUGCCGUGCUUCUACAGCCUGCAGAACUGAAUACCCAUCUCGAGUUCUGGAUAUGUGCUCUGAGAAGGUGCCCAUGUCACCGACCACACUGGAGGCCAAUGCAGAUACUGGGGGAAGGUUCCAUGGUAGCUAAGUGUGGACAAGCUAAUCACUGAAGUUCCCUGAUGCAGAGUUGAUAAUCUCUCUAGAGUUGGAUGAAAGACUGUGCUGCCUUGAAGCUCUGAGAGAUGCCAUGCCAAUUCAAGGCAGGGUCUUUAUUGUUGAAACUCUUGCGUAAUGACAUCUUUAUUCAGGUGAAAAUACAGGAUGAAUUUCAACUAUAUGAUAUUGUUUAUGUUCCUCAGACAUGUUAUUUGUCUUUACAAAGAUUGGUUUCAAUAAACUGUGUGACUGAUAUUAAAUAAACAUGGAAUUUUACACAUUC
RNAcentral lists this long non-coding RNA (703 nucleotides) under Homo sapiens (human). RNAcentral's name for it is "non-protein coding TMEM161B-AS1:8". The record is from RNAcentral. Lineage: Eukaryota; Metazoa; Chordata; Mammalia; Primates; Hominidae.